GACCGGGACCCGCGCGACGCCUGCUCACGAAGGGUGUCAGGUCCUGACGGAAGCAGCACUAAGAGAUGUCAGGCGGGUGCCGUGGUUGCGCCUGGUCAGG
This 100-nucleotide signal recognition particle RNA is filed under the name Bacillota bacterium. RNAcentral describes it as "signal recognition particle sRNA small type". It matches the Rfam family "Bacterial small signal recognition particle RNA". Rfam says of the family: The signal recognition particle (SRP) is a universally conserved ribonucleoprotein involved in the co-translational targeting of proteins to membranes. Archaeal SRP consists of a 7S RNA and homologues of the eukaryotic SRP19 and SRP54 proteins. Lineage: Bacteria; Bacillati; Bacillota. The record is from RNAcentral.